Molecule: transfer RNA, 87 nt
Filed under: Armatimonadota bacterium
Lineage: Bacteria; Bacillati; Armatimonadota
Description: Armatimonadetes bacterium (groundwater metagenome) tRNA-Tyr
Rfam family: tRNA
About the family: Transfer RNA (tRNA) molecules are approximately 80 nucleotides in length. Their secondary structure includes four short double-helical elements and three loops (D, anti-codon, and T loops).
Source: RNAcentral
GGGCAGAUGGCCGAGUGGUUAAUGGCAUCAGACUGUAAAUCUGACGCGCUCAGCGCUACGGAGGUUCAAAUCCUUCUCUGCCCACCA